AGCGAACGCUGGCGGCAGGCCUAACACAUGCAAGUCGAACGAACCUUUCGGGGUUAGUGGCGGACGGGGGAGUAACACGUGGGAACGUGCCUUUAUGGUCGGAAUAACUCAGGGAAACUUGUGCUAAUACCGAAUGUGCCCUUCGGGGGAAAGAUUAAUCGCCUUUAGAGCGGCCCGCGUCUGAUUAGCUAGUUGGUUGAGGUAAUGGCUCACCAAGGCGACGAUCAGUAGCUGGUCUGAGAGGAUGAUCAGCCACAUUGGGACUGAGACACGGCCCAAACUCCUACGGGAGGCAGCAGUGGGGAAUCUUGCGCAAUGGGCGAAAGCCUGACGCAGCCAUGCCGCGUGAAUGAUGAAGGUCUUAGGAUUGUAAAAUUCUUUCACCGGGGACGAUAAUGACGGUACCCGGAGAAGAAGCCCCGGCUAACUUCGUG
Molecule: ribosomal RNA, 434 nt
Filed under: uncultured bacterium
Lineage: Bacteria
Description: partial 16S ribosomal RNA
Rfam family: Bacterial small subunit ribosomal RNA
Source: RNAcentral